Long non-coding RNA from Pomacea canaliculata, 3073 nucleotides. RefSeq lists it as uncharacterized. The transcript is spliced from 5 exons. NCBI's taxonomy places the organism in Eukaryota, Metazoa, Mollusca, Gastropoda, Architaenioglossa, Ampullariidae. The record is from RefSeq and is a predicted model, not a curated record.
UCGCGAGCACGAAAACCACUGCGAGAUAAGUUGUUGGACACACCUUUGCAAAGUGAUCUGUAAUUUCAAACGAUUCGAACUAGUAUUCAGCGAGGGGUAUAGGUAAAGUUUACGUUCAAAACAUAGGAAAAUUAAAGGGCUGAUGUAGAGUGCAGCUUAUCUAUUCCUGGAAACAAUGGUGAUGUGGAAGAGUUUCUUUGAAUGAUAUCUGUUCAUGGUUAAGUAAGUAGCAGUAACAGAUAUAGUGCACAUGAAGGGUGGGUGUGUCCUGUGUUACGGCACAAAGCAAACGUGCACAGCAAGGGUGUCGCUAACUGCACGAGUGACAACCAGGAUCUGGCAACUUUCGGCUGUGCUGUCGACUGAGCUCUUACCUGAAGCUUCUGAGCCCCGGGUGGCUGGUGUUAACAUUCACUGAACAGAAGAGCAAACGAAAGCAGAAAAUGGCGGUCAAUGGCUGGACAAUGAAAGUCAUUCAGUUGCUGCUUGAAGAGUUUGAUGGAAGAGCCAAGUUUGGACAAUUCAAGAGAAGGCUGUAUCAAGAAUACCUCGUGAAGGGUGGAAUCGCUCGUGUUUUAGAUAGGCUCUACGACAGCAACAGGUUCUUGGUCUUUGAAAAGUAUGAGCAGGUGAAAUAUGUUUCAGUCGCCUGGGAGGAUGCUAUUAUCUGCUGUGGAUACCGAAAGCGAGGAUGGGACACGUGCGUUAAAGGACUGUUUCAAAUUCCACAUCUGCAAGUUCUUCAUCACUGGUAACUGCGUAUAUGGUUCCAGAUGUUUGUUUGGGCACGACCUCGAGAACGAGGCCAACUGGAAUGUGUCUGACAACCUGGGUCUGUCAUCGUUUUCAGCCGAACAAAUCCGCACCAUCAUAUUUCGCAGCCAUCCAGUUGUGUGUGUGAACUACAACACGGGAGGCUGUGAUGACGAUGACUGUCCAGACCUUCACGUCUGCUCUCGAUUCAUCCUACAGAAAUGUACAGCAGGAGCCCGUUGUAAUUUUGGACAUUCUUUUCGAACGACUGAACACAAUCAGUGGAUUCUGGAGACAUUUUAUGUGGAAGAUUUGAAUGAUGAAGAAUUGAAAAGGCGCGUCCUAGUAACAAAUAUCUCCAACACUGACAUCAGCCACGAUCCCAAAUGACACCAGCAACAUCUUCGUUAAGUGUCUUUAGUGGUGCUAAAGCAGAAUCAUCAACAUCCUCACUAUCAUCAAUAGACACAGAAGAUUACAUCCUUAGUGUCUUCAUGUUUCUGUUGAAGGAUUUAGGCGGGAGAGCUAAAUUUAACACAUUCUUGACCAAGAGGUGAACUCUGCAGGGACUUAAGAGAGUAGACAUCAUUGAGUGGCUGGAGGACAACAGUGACCGAUUCCUCUUGCAUGAAAGUGAUGGUGAUGUGAAGUUUGUUUCUGUUCACAACAGACGCGCCAGGGUGUGCUUGAGAUACAACAACCCUGGUGGUUCCAUGUGUGACAAUCAGUUUUGCAAGUUCUUUCACAUCUGCAGAGAUCUCCUAACUGACACCUGUAGCAGGACCAGAUGCCAUUUAAAUCAUGAUUUUUCCUCAUGGCCAAAUGCCAAGAUAUGCUCGGAUCUGAACUUUCAGCAGUUUUCAGACAAGGAGAUUUGUAAGAUCAUUCUGUGUAGUCAUCCUGUCGUCUGCGUGAAAUAUAACGAAUCAGGCUGUCAGCUGAAUGAGUGUCCGGACCUCCACGUUUGUUCAAAGAAUAUCUUAAAUCAGUGUGCACGUGGAGACGGCUGUAGGUUUGGCCACACAAUAAAGAAUUCGGGAGAACACAACUCGUAUGUGUUGAAGGCUUUUGGAAUGGACACUUGGCAAGAACAAGUCCUGCGGAAACUUGUCAUUGUCAGCAAAAGAGAACACCCAGAGCAUCUACCAUGUCCCAGCUGUACACCAACAGCUGGACAUUCGUCAGUCAGGAAAAAACGAAUAUACCCGGCACCGCACGAAAUCUAUUGGUGUCAAAGAUACUGAUCCUGGCGAGUAUGAAUACCUGUGUGAAAUAUACACCUGGAGAGGUAUGUGUCCCAAAACUCCGAACUGUCCACACUACCACAGUCCUGAUCGCCUCCCUUACCUGUGGCUGACUAGGAAUCAGGAGGAUGGACAAUGGCGCAGAGUCCAUUCAAGUGUGAACACAGACUUCGAGAAAGUUUCUGUUGCCUUGACGAUGUUAGGUCAUUUCAGGUAAAACAUUUAUAAUGUGGGGAGAAGAUAGACAAAGCUUUGUUUACAGCUGGCAACAUAACUUCUCUACAAAGGCAGACGGACUAACAUACUGUAGGACUUGGGAUAUUGUGUCUUUAAGCAUGUGUUCUGUAAGUAAUUGCUUUUUUGUAUCUAUACUGUUAGAAUAUCGGUAAUUUAAUGUUUCUUUUUGUGAGUGCGUACAUGUGUUUAUGUAAGUAUACAUAUGUUUUGUGAGUGUAUACAUGCGCUAGUUUGUGUAUUUGUGUAUAUACAUACGUUUGUGUUAGCUUGUGUAUGCAAGUGUUUGUUCUGGUGAGUGUAUACACACGUUAGUGCUUAGUACAUAUAUGUGUUUGGGUGAGUGAAUGUAGGAGUUUGUGGGUACUUCCAGUAUAACACACUAAAGAAUUUUUACUUAGAUGAGCAAAAUGUGUUUAAUUAUUAACUAAUAUUCUUGCCUUCCCCUGGUCCGAAGUUUAAUAUACCUGGAGUACAGAAUGUGGACUUCCAGUGCCAUGUCAGCCAAAGUCGGAGUACGCCAGUCAGUUAAGCUCAGGCGACUGUCGACGCCAUCAUAUGUGACUGCAACACCAGGAACUCCUCUCAAGCUUCUACACUCAGUGGGUGUGGUAUCGGCAAGAACAUGAAGGCAACUACACCCCCUUCUACCCGGGAACCUUGCAGUACACUCUGGAAGAGAAGUAUUGAAGGGACAGCAGAAGUAUUAUUUUGAGUUUGGAGAUUUACGCCUGAUGGUCAACACUCAAAGCUCCCCGAUAGUUCAAACCAACCUCGACACACAUCGAACAACUUGUGUCAUCCGAAGACCUGUUUUAUGGCGGCUACAUCCAAGACGCCAA